This 305-nucleotide ribosomal RNA is filed under the name uncultured bacterium. Its description in RNAcentral is "bacterial SSU rRNA". It matches the Rfam family "Bacterial small subunit ribosomal RNA", at positions 333 to 630 of the family's 1533-position model. The record is from RNAcentral.
GAGGUCCUACGGGAGGCAGCAGUAGGGAAUUUUCGUCAAUGGGCGCAAGCCUGAACGAGCAAUGCCGCGUGAACGAGGAAGGUCUUCGGAUCGUAAAGUUCUGUUGAAGGGGAAAAAGAGCGGAGAGAGGAAAUGGUCUCCGAUUGAUAUUACCCUUCGAGGAAGUCACGGCUAACUACGUGCCAGCAGCCGCGGUAAUACGUAGGUGGCGAGCGUUAUCCGGAAUGAUUGGGUGUAAAGGGAGCGUAGACGGUGCAGCAAGUCUGAUGUGAAAGGUCGGGGCCCAACCCCGGGACUGCAUUGGA